UUACGACCAUAUCAUGUUGAAACACCGGUUCCUGUAUGAUCAACGAAGUUAAGCAACGUUAAGCAUGGUCAGCACCUAGAUGGGUAAGCGCUUAAGAAUACCAGGCUCUG
Molecule: non-coding RNA, 110 nt
Organism: Acanthosepion pharaonis
Lineage: Eukaryota; Metazoa; Mollusca; Cephalopoda; Sepiida; Sepiidae
Source: the annotation of a GenBank genome assembly